Non-coding RNA from Biomphalaria pfeifferi, 413 nucleotides. NCBI's taxonomy places the organism in Eukaryota, Metazoa, Mollusca, Gastropoda, Planorbidae. The record is from the annotation of a GenBank genome assembly.
UUGUGUGGCCAGCACAACAACCAAUUGCCAAAACAGCAUUUUAGAUCCAAAUUUGCUUUUCUUUUCACUCACGAGAGUUUUGGUUAAAUUUCUCUAUCAAAAUCUGUCAACUAAGACAUUAAUUUCACUACCGAAAUCCAAACUGUCAACAAGAUAAAAGCCUGUAGGACUAGAUCUUUGUCACCAAAACUAGCAAUCAGUAGUCCCAUCCUUCUGUUUAUAAUGAAGCUAUUUGUCUAUCUGUAGAUUAUACAAUGAUGUUCUGCUUUAUGACCCUUGAAUUGUGAUUUGACAUUAAUUUAUCAGUAUUAUAUUUUUAAUUUAUUGGAUGUUUUGUUUGUAUGUAUAUCAUACUAAGUGUAUAUACCAUCGUUUGAACAUGCAAGUUGUUGAACAGUAUAACCAAUACUGAA